GACGAACGCUGGCGGUGUGCUUAACACAUGCAAGUCGAACGGUAAGGCCCUUUCGGGGGUACACGAGUGGCGAACGGGUGAGUAACACGUGAGUAACCUGCCCUCAUCUCUGGGAUAACAGUCGGAAACGGUUGCUAAUACUGGAUAUGAGCUUGCAAGGCAUCUUGUGGGUUGGAAAGAUUUUUUUUGGUUGGGGAUGGCCUCGCGGCCUAUCAGCUUGUUGGUGAGGUAGUGGCUCACCAAGGCUUCGACGGGUAGCCGGCCUGAGAGGGCGACCGGCCACAUUGGGACUGAGAUACGGCCCAAACUCCUACGGGAGGCAGCAGUGGGGAAUAUUGCACAAUGGACGGAAGUCUGAUGCAGCAACGCCGCGUGCGGGAUGACGGCCUUCGGGUUGUAAACCGCUUUCAAUUGUGACGAAGCUUUUUUGUGACGGUAGCAGUAGAAGAAGCACCGGCUAACUACGUG
This 468-nucleotide ribosomal RNA is filed under the name uncultured bacterium. RNAcentral describes it as "partial 16S ribosomal RNA". It matches the Rfam family "Bacterial small subunit ribosomal RNA", at positions 28 to 507 of the family's 1533-position model. The record is from RNAcentral.